AAAAAGGGCUUCUGUCGUGAGUGGCACACGUAGGGCAGCUCGUUUGCUCUACGUGCGGAAUCGACAUCAAGAGAUUUCGGAAGCAUAAUUUUUGCUAACGGGGCAGCUGGUGAUCGUUGAAAAGAAUAAAAAAAAAAAAAAAAAAAAAAAAAUCUGCAUCCAU
RNAcentral lists this small nuclear RNA (163 nucleotides) under Cervus hanglu yarkandensis (Yarkand deer). Its description in RNAcentral is "U11 spliceosomal RNA (ENSCHYG00000010594.1)". It matches the Rfam family "U11 spliceosomal RNA". Lineage: Eukaryota; Metazoa; Chordata; Mammalia; Artiodactyla; Cervidae. The record is from Rfam by way of RNAcentral.